This 337-nucleotide ribosomal RNA is filed under the name uncultured bacterium. RNAcentral's name for it is "bacterial SSU rRNA". It matches the Rfam family "Bacterial small subunit ribosomal RNA", at positions 8 to 334 of the family's 1533-position model. The record is from RNAcentral.
AGGGUUCGAUUAUGGCUCAGGACGAACGCUGGCGGCGUGCUUAACACAUGCAAGUCGAGCGGGGAUAUCUGGAGUGCUUGCACACUGGAUAUUCCAGCGGCGGACGGGUGAGUAACGCGUGAACAAUCUGUCCCAUACAGGGGGAUAACAGAUGGAAACAUCUGCUAAUACCGCAUAAGACCACGAUGCCACAUGGCGACGGGGUAAAAGGAGCAAUCCGGUAUGGGGUGAGUUCGCGUCCGAUUAGCUAGUUGGCGAGGUAACGGCCCACCAAGGCGACGAUCGGUAGCCGACCUGAGAGGGUGAUCGGCCACACUGGAACUGAGAGACGGUCCAG